AGUGGCGGACGGGUGAGUAACGCGUGAGAAUCUGCCUUCAGGUCGGGGACAACAGAGGGAAACUUCUGCUAAUCCCGGAUGAGCCUUAGGGUAAAAAAUUUAUUGCCUGGAGAUGAGCUCGCGUCUGAUUAGCUAGUUGGUAAGGUAAAAGCUUACCAAGGCAACGAUCAGUAGCUGGUCUGAGAGGAUGAGCAGCCACACUGGGACUGAGACACGGCCCAGACUCCUACGGGAGGCAGCAGUGGGGAAUUUUCCGCAAUGGGCGAAAGCUUGACGGAGCAAGACCGCGUGGGGGAGGAAGGCUCUAGGGUUGUAAACCCCUUUUCUUUGGGAAGAAUAAAAUGACGGUACCAAAGGAAUCAGCCUCGGCUAACUCCGUGCCAGCAGCCGCGGUAAUACGGAGGAGGCAAGCGUUAUCCGGAAUGAUUGGGCGUAAAGCGUCCGCAGGUGGCAAUGUAAGUCUGCUGUCAAAACCCAGGGCUCAACUCUGGUCAGGCAGUGGAAACUACAUAGCUAGAGUUCGGUAGGGGCAAAGGGAAUUCCCGGUUUAGCGGUGAAAUGCGUAGAGAUCGGGAAGAACAUCGGUGGCGAAAGCGCUUUGCUAGACCGAAACUGACACUCAGGGACGAAAGCUAGGGGAGCGAAUGGGAUUAGAUACCCC
RNAcentral lists this ribosomal RNA (661 nucleotides) under uncultured bacterium. RNAcentral's name for it is "bacterial SSU rRNA". It matches the Rfam family "Bacterial small subunit ribosomal RNA", at positions 94 to 788 of the family's 1533-position model. The record is from RNAcentral.